Quercus robur (English oak) is the source of this 817-nucleotide long non-coding RNA. RefSeq lists it as uncharacterized. The transcript has 2 exons. Lineage: Eukaryota; Viridiplantae; Streptophyta; Magnoliopsida; Fagales; Fagaceae. The record is from RefSeq and is a predicted model, not a curated record.
UCUUCUAUUUAUUUUAUCUGAAACAACGCAGCCCAAAAUCCUCCAAUCUGUCUUCUAUUUCUUCUUCUUCAUCGCCCAAAUCUCAAAUAAACCCUUCAAAGCCUCAUAAAUCUCCCCUCAAAGCCUUCCUCUGCAUCUCCAACAUCCCCAACCACCGCCUGUUUUCCAUUCCCAAGAUUUUGCCUCUUAAACCGUUUACAAGGUUUAGGUUGGCGUUCACAAUGUCUGAGUAUUGGUGGUAUACACUAUUUUUUGGCAUGCCGACAAAUUGGCGAUUGAGACGAAUCAAGUUUCAAGGACUAAGACAGUUUCAAUGGGGAGACGCUAUGUUGUAUUUGCUUAAUGGGUUUUGGCCAGAAUCAUAUCGGCGUCGGGUAGAUGAUAUGGUCAUAGCUGAUUGAUUGUGUUAUGUGGAAUCUACAACUGUAUAGGAACCUUGCUCUUCUAUAGUUUUAGAGUUAAGAUGAGGACAGGUUCCAUGUGCUUUUCCAUCUUGCAAGUUCCUAGAUGCAGAAUCUGCACAUUAGCUACUUUUUGGAGGGAAAGCUUCCACAGUUUGAGUAGGACUGACAAAAAUAGUUCUAUCUUUAGGCUACUUGGUUCUAAUAUCUAUGGGCUUGAGAGAGGUUACAUUAGGAAAUGGACUCGAAGUCCUGUAUUUACAAACACAGAGGAAGGAAAUAAAACCACCUAGCAAAGUAAACCAAGCAACAUUGGGCAUGAAAUUUUAGAUUGAGUGGUUUCAAAAAGUGAUACAUUUAGUGUAAAUAAGAUAGAGAUUAGUCAAUUCCACAAUACUGAAUACUGUGAAUCAUAA